UACGUAGGCAGCAAGCGUUGUUCGGAGUUACUGGGCGUAAAGGGUGCGUAGGCGGCUUUUUAAGUUUGGUGUGAAAUCUCCCGGCUCAACCGGGAGGGUGCGCCGAAUACUGAGAGGCUAGAGUGUGGGAGAGGAAAGUGGAAUUCCUGGUGUAGCGGUGAAAUGCGUAUAUAUCAGGAGGAACACCGGUGGUGUAAACGGCUUUCUGGACCAUAACUGACGCUGAGGCACGAAAGCGUGGGUAGCAAACAGG
Molecule: ribosomal RNA, 253 nt
Filed under: uncultured bacterium
Lineage: Bacteria
Description: partial 16S ribosomal RNA
Rfam family: Bacterial small subunit ribosomal RNA
Source: RNAcentral